UACGUAGGGUGCAAGCGUUGUCCGGAUUUAUUGGGCGUAAAGAGCUCGUAGGCGGUUUGUCGCGUCGGCCGUGAAAUCUCCACGCUUAACGUGGAGCGUGCGGUCGAUACGGGCAGACUUGAGUUCGGUAGGGGAGACUGGAAUUCCUGGUGUAGCGGUGAAAUGCGCAGAUAUCAGGAGGAACACCGGUGGCGAAGGCGGGUCUCUGGGCCGAUACUGACGCUGAGGAGCGAAAGCGUGGGGAGCGAACAGG
RNAcentral lists this ribosomal RNA (253 nucleotides) under uncultured bacterium. RNAcentral's name for it is "partial 16S ribosomal RNA". It matches the Rfam family "Bacterial small subunit ribosomal RNA", at positions 524 to 776 of the family's 1533-position model. The record is from RNAcentral.